UACGGAGGGGGCUAGCGUUGUUCGGAAUUACUGGGCGUAAAGCGCGCGUAGGCGGACCUGAAGUCAGGGGUGAAAUCCCGGGGCUCAACCCCGGAACGGCCUUUGAUACUGGAUGUCUUGAGUCCGGAAGAGGUGAGUGGAAUUGCGAGUGUAGAGGUGAAUUCGUAGAUAUUCGCAGGAACACCAGUGGCGAAGGCGGCUCACUGGUCCGGAACUGACGCUGAGGUGCGAAAGCGUGGGGAGCAAACAGG
Molecule: ribosomal RNA, 251 nt
Filed under: uncultured bacterium
Lineage: Bacteria
Description: partial 16S ribosomal RNA
Rfam family: Bacterial small subunit ribosomal RNA
Source: RNAcentral